UGAACGCGAAGAACCUUACCAGGUCUUGACAUCCCGAUGAAAAACCCGUAACGGGGUUCCCUCUUCGGAGCAUCGGAGACAGGUGGUGCAUGGUUGUCGUCAGCUCGUGUCGUGAGAUGUUGGGUUAAGUCCCGCAACGAGCGCAACCCUUAUGGUCAGUUACUACGCAAGAGGACUCUGGCCAGACUGCCGUUGACAAAACGGAGGAAGGUGGGGAUGACGUCAAAUCAUCAUGCCCUUUAUGACUUGGGCUACACACGUACUACAAUGGCGUUAAACAAAGAGAAGCAAGACCGCGAGGUGGAGCAAAACUCAGAAACAACGUCCCAGUUCGGACUGCAGGCUGCAACUCGCCUGCACGAAGUCGGAAUUGCUAGUAAUCGUGGAUCAGCAUGCCACGGUGAAUACGUUCCCGGGUCUUGUACACACCG
RNAcentral lists this ribosomal RNA (431 nucleotides) under uncultured bacterium. Its description in RNAcentral is "bacterial SSU rRNA". It matches the Rfam family "Bacterial small subunit ribosomal RNA", at positions 956 to 1392 of the family's 1533-position model. The record is from RNAcentral.